GAGGGUGUAGGUAUGUACCCUGGCCUCUGCCAGUCAGACUCACAUGCUAGGAGGAGCAGGGCCAGGCAGGAGAGCCGUGUCUCCUGGCAUUGGGGCUGUAGGAAAGAUGAGCUCCUAGGCCACAGUGCCAGUGGCCAGUGCUGCUGCCUUGCAGGGUGGCACAGGCAGUGCUGGCUGUUUGGACUGGCUUGGCAGAAGGAUUUGAAGUAUUGUUCCUAGCCAACUGGACUCAAACCUGUUCUUCCAACCCUCUAGGGAUUUUCUCAUCACCCAGUAGCCUUUUCCCCCUAGUUUUAAAAAUUGCAGUAAAAUACACAAAGAUAAAAUGUACUGCCUUAACGAUUUUUAAGUGUACAGUUCUGUGGUAUUGAGCACAUUUAUAUUGUGCACCCAUCACCACAUGCAUCUUCAAUAGCUUUUCAUCAGUCCUUGUCUGCAUAAAUCAGCUAGAGUUGGUUUCUAUUGAUUGCCGCCAAUAAUCUUAACAGAUAUGUCUGAUCUUCCUUCUCUGCACUGACUCCUCUUUCUCUGUCUCUUCUGCUGAUUCUUUCUCCUCAUCACAACUCCAAAUAGCAGGGGGAGGGUUGUUUACACUUACAUUCAGGACGCCGUCACCCACUCGCCUGGCUCUUCAGACCUCUCCCCUGAACUCCAGAUUCAUACAUCCAGCUGCCCUUUAGGCCUCUAGAAAACUAAAUACCUCAGUAUCAAAAACAUGAGAAACGAAAGUCAGAGUCCUAGAUCUCUCGCCCUUUCCCUGUCCCAGUGCACAUGCCCUUCAGGGAUGGCACCUAGACCAGCUCCCUGCAUCCCUGCCUAGACUCUGCAGUAGUCUCACGUGGCAGACCCAGAGGUCACUCUCCUCUCCAGAUGCCCUGCAGACACCCCAGUUAGCAGGCAGUGUCCAGCUGUUCCUUCAGCUGGCCUCAGCUGCAAGAGCCUCCUCACCCAAGGUCACGCCAUUCCCAGGACAGCACCCUGGUGACUGAGGGAGGGAAGAAAAGUCAGAAGACCAGGACCUCCAGGGCCUCAAGGACAAACCCCUCAAGUUUAAAAAGGUGAAGAAAGAUAAGAAAGAAGAGAAAGAGGGCAAGCAUGAGCCCGUGCAGCCGUCAGC
RNAcentral lists this small RNA (1117 nucleotides) under Pongo abelii (Sumatran orangutan). RNAcentral's name for it is "processed transcript". Lineage: Eukaryota; Metazoa; Chordata; Mammalia; Primates; Hominidae. The record is from RNAcentral.